Molecule: long non-coding RNA, 1193 nt
Organism: Glycine soja
Lineage: Eukaryota; Viridiplantae; Streptophyta; Magnoliopsida; Fabales; Fabaceae
Exons: 4
Source: RefSeq, a predicted model, not a curated record
UCUAAAUCUAUUGAUCUGGAAUCUUUACAUAGGUUGAUGAAGUUGAAGUCGUGAUUGACCCAAAAGAUAUUGAACUGACAACAACACAUUCUGGGGGUGCUGGAGGCCAGAAUGUUAAUAAGGUUGAAACAACCAUUGAUCUCUUCCAUAAACCAACGGUAUUCCGCAUCUUUUCAAUUGCUCCGAGCAAAACUGUAAGCAUCAAUAUUGCCAUGCAAUUUUAUGAGUCUGAUUUCAGAAUUGAGUCAUGUUUAUGUAUAUUUCAACUUGUUAAUAUUGGUAAUAUUUCUAUUCUAUAAUUUUAAGCCUACCCUAGAAAAAAGGUUCCAAGAAAGAUUAAGGGCUUCUUUAUUGCAAUGGUGCUAUACCAGCUAUGGAGAGGUAUUAUUUACUUAUUUAUUACUUAAUUUAAUUUAAUUUGUAGAAGCACCCUAGAAUAUUAUAAGGCAGAAUUUAUAGGUAGUGGUAGACAACCAAGGAGAUUAUAGAAACAUGUUAAGUUCAAGGACUAUUUUUUAUUUGGAUUUCUUAUACCUGGAUGUGUCUAUUUCUAUACUAGCCAAUCUGGGAUUGGCAUUACAGAUUGGUCCUUAGUUUCUAUGCAAAUUUACUAGCAUUUGUUGACCUUAAUUUUAUACUUUUCUUGCCUUUUAUCACUCAACACUUAUUCUUGCUCACUACUUUUUAUUUUAUAUUUUUCCAAAGGUUUUAAGUUCCUGGAUGCACUUUUGUGCCGUGCGUUUAUUUGCUAAGAGCAUUCUGAGAUAUGGUCCGCCACCAUCUUUCUUGACUUGCUGUCUGAGUUGGCUAGAAGAGAGACAAGAGCAAUGAUCAAGCUAGACCCAGAUAUUGAUGUCUACAUGAAGGCUAUUAUUACUUGCAAAAAGAUUGGGCCAAAGAAACCUGUCGUGUGGUGAUGGUGAGCCAGUGAUGCGCGGUCAUAAUUUAAGCGUUUAAAUAAGAGAGAGAGAACCCAAGGGAAAACCAAGUGACGUGCGGGCACUUGCCACUUCAAUAGGAUUUCUAUUAGUUUUAUUAGUUGUUGUCUCAUCGUGAUUUUGUUUUUAUACUAGCUUUCUGAUUAUGACAAAGGUUCUAUUUUGCGUGUUCGUGGAAAGAACAUUUUGUAGAAUGAAUAUGGUGUAAAUUUUUGUAGUCAAAAUGGUGAAUUAAAAUUCCAUGCACAUUUUGCA